GAUGAACGCUGGCGGCGUGCCUAAUACAUGCAAGUCGAGCGAACGGACGAGAAGCUUGCUCCUCUGAUGUUAGCGGCGGACGGGUGAGUAACACGUGGAUAACCUACCUAUAAGACUGGGAUAACUACGGGAAACCGGAGCUAAUACCGGAUGAUAUUUUGAACCGCAUGGUUCAAAAGUGAAAGACGGUUUUGCUGUCACUUAUAGCUGGUUCCGCGCUGCAUUAGCUAGUUGGUAAGGUAACGGCUUACCAAGGCAACGAUGCAUAGCCGACCUGAGAGGGUGAUCGGCCACACUGGAACUGAGACACGGUCCAGACUCCUACGGGAGGCAGCAGUAGGGAAUCUUCCGCAAUGGGCGAAAGCCUGAUGGAGCAACGCCGCGUGAGUGAUGAAGGUCUUCGGAUCGUAAAACUCUGUUAUUAGGGAAGAACAUAUGUGGAAGUAAAUGUGGAUGUCUUGACGGUACCUAAUCAGAAAGCCACGGCUAACUACGUG
Molecule: ribosomal RNA, 497 nt
Filed under: uncultured bacterium
Lineage: Bacteria
Description: partial 16S ribosomal RNA
Rfam family: Bacterial small subunit ribosomal RNA
Source: RNAcentral